AGUGAAUAGAUACCCCCGGUAGUCCCAGCCGUAAACGAUGCUCGCUAGGUGUCAGGCAUGGCGCGACCGUGUCUGGUGCCGCAGGGAAGCCGUGAAGCGAGCCACCUGGGAAGUACGGCCGCAAGGCUGAAACUUAAAGGAAUUGGCGGGGGAGCACAACAACGGGUGGAGCCUGCGGUUUAAUUGGACUCAACGCCGGACAACUCACCGGGGGGCGACAGCAAUAUGUAGGCCAAGCUGAAGACUUUGCCUGAAUCGCUGAGAGGAGGUGCAUGGCCGUCGCCAGUUCGUACUGUGAAGCAUCCUGUUAAGUCAGGCAGCGAGCGAGACCCGUGCCCACUGUUACCAGCAUGUCCUCCGGGACGAUGGGUACUCUGUGGGGACCGCCGAUGUUAAAUCGGAGGAAGGUGCGGGCCACGGUAGGUCAGUAUGCCCCGAAUCUCCCGGGCUACACGCGGGCUACAAUGGAUGGGACAAUGGGUCCUCCCCUGAAAAGGGCUGGUAAUCUCACAAACCCAUUCGUAGUUCGGAUCGA
This 535-nucleotide ribosomal RNA is filed under the name uncultured bacterium. RNAcentral's name for it is "bacterial SSU rRNA". It matches the Rfam family "Archaeal small subunit ribosomal RNA", at positions 724 to 1257 of the family's 1478-position model. The record is from RNAcentral.